Molecule: long non-coding RNA, 1139 nt
Filed under: Fukomys damarensis (Damara mole-rat)
Lineage: Eukaryota; Metazoa; Chordata; Mammalia; Rodentia; Bathyergidae
Description: lncRNA (ENSFDAG00000032751.1)
Source: RNAcentral
GCUGUGCUCACCCCAAGGGUCUCUGACUGCCUGGCUGCCUGGCCCAGGGCUUUGCUUUUCUGACACACUCCAUAAAUGCUGAUGCUGCAGUUCCAGCCUCCUCAGGGUGGCCCUGGCCGAUGGCCCUGCAGGCCCUGCUGCCCCGUUGGCUGGCUUCUCCUGCCCUUCUCUUUGGAACUGUCGUCUGUGGAGGCCGAGCAGCCAGACAUGCUCUGUGCUUGCGCCAAAAUCUCCUGACUCAGCACUGCCCGUGGACUCCGGACUCCGGCAGAGCCCCAGGGAGGAGGAGGGCACGGCCUGGACAGGCCAGGCCGGUUCUGCGGGGUGGCUGGUGACCCAUGGAGAGCCGCUUGGGCCCGUCCCUCAGGUCGGUCUGCAGGUGAUGAGCGGGUGCAGCCAACCCAGCCUCUUAGAGAGGAUGCGGGGGUGGGUGCCUGAGUUAAUCACCAAUUGGAGCCGGGCUGCUGUUCCCAUGGUGACUGCACACGGAGCCCCGUGCCCUCGGCUCUCACCUCCUCCCAUCCGUUGCAACCUCCAUUAAACAGAAACAAAAGAUUAAUAUGGCAGAAGCCAUUUAAUGAACUCGUGCUGGCAGCGGCUGCUAGCUUUUUACUGGAACCAUGACGAAGAAGCCUCUCCGCCUCUUCCAGGAGAGCACAGGGGCUCCUGGCAUCUGACCUCGCCUGUUGUCAGACAGCAGUGGUGCAGAGGUGCUCCGGUUUGGGGGACACCCCUUUCCUUUCUCUCCGUAUGGUGGAAGUCAUUUUAUCUCUCCACACAGCCUGAGGCCCUGGCUCCAGACGAGACACAGAUCUGCAAGCCCAGGGGUGCAAAACCCUCUGCUCGCCAGGAAGCAAUGACAAGGUCAAGCUGUGAUGUACCACACCAGGAAAGUCCCCAAGCUCCUGAACCUGCCCUCUGCCCCGACACCAAGGCUCUCUGCAGUGUCCCCUGAGCUCAGCACCUGCACUCAGCCACUCAGCUGCUUCCAGGUACUGUUAGGUAGCAGUCUACUCUGUCCUUUCCCUGCCGUCCCCUCCCCACUUCAGCAAUCGGGUCCACAUGCUGAACAGGCCAGCAGAUCUCACCUCCAGAUACAGUUGGUGGGGACACUGCUGCAAAGGCAGAUGUGUGUGCAC